GAUGAACGCUGGCGGCGUGCCUAAUACAUGCAAGUCGAGCGAACAGAUAAGGAGCUUGCUCCUUUGACGUUAGCGGCGGACGGGUGAGUAACACGUGGGUAACCUACCUAUAAGACUGGGAUAACUUCGGGAAACCGGAGCUAAUACCGGAUAACAUUUGGAACCGCAUGGUUCUAAAGUGAAAGAUGGUUUUGCUAUCACUUAUAGAUGGACCCGCGCCGUAUUAGCUAGUUGGUAAGGUAACGGCUUACCAAGGCGACGAUACGUAGCCGACCUGAGAGGGUGAUCGGCCACACUGGAACUGAGACACGGUCCAGACUCCUACGGGAGGCAGCAGUAGGGAAUCUUCCGCAAAGGGCGAAAGCCUGACGGAGCAACGCCGCGUGAGUGAUGAAGGGUUUCGGCUCGUAAAACUCUGUUAUUAGGGAAGAACAAACGUGUAAGUAACUGUGCACGUCUUGACGGUACCUAAUCAGAAAGCCACGGCUAACUACGUG
Molecule: ribosomal RNA, 497 nt
Filed under: uncultured bacterium
Lineage: Bacteria
Description: partial 16S ribosomal RNA
Rfam family: Bacterial small subunit ribosomal RNA
Source: RNAcentral